Molecule: ribosomal RNA, 253 nt
Filed under: uncultured bacterium
Lineage: Bacteria
Description: partial 16S ribosomal RNA
Rfam family: Bacterial small subunit ribosomal RNA
Source: RNAcentral
UACAGAGGGUGCGAGUGUUGUUCGGAAUCAUUGGGCGUAAAGGGCGUGUAGGCGGUUGGGUAAGUCAGAUGUGAAAGCCCUGGGCUUAACUCAGGAACUGCAUUUGAUACUGCUCAGCUAGAGUUCGGUAGAGGGUAGUGGAAUUCCCGGUGUAGAGGUGAAAUUCGUAGAGAUCGGGAGGAACACCAGUGGCGAGAGCGGCUACCUGGGCCGACACUGACGCUGAGGCGCGAGAGCGUGGGGAGCAAACAGG